GAAUGGCUGGAUGGUUUUAGUACAGCUCUAGACGUUAGGCCCAUUUGAAAGGAGCUACAGUUUCAACUGAGAAACUGAAACUGUGCAAGAGCAGCACUUGUCAGUGUCACGUGCAGCCGCAGAGCGAUGAGCCCCUUACAGUGAAGCUCAAGGCCAACAUCCUCCCUGCUCUCCCAUGAAAACCACAGGAGACUUAUCUGCGAAGAAAAUUGAAGGGAUCUCCUCUCAAGACCUGACAAAGAAGUCCUUCCUCACCAACUCUGGCAGUACUGACCAAUGUCAAACUUUUGAAGAAAUUGAUGAUGAGAAUAUUAAAGGAAGGAAAUGAAAUGGACUGCAGUGAUACUCACCUAUGGAACCCAGCUACCAUGUUGUAAGGAAUACCAGAUGACAUGGAGAGACGAUGUGUAUGUAUUCCUAUUAACAGCCCCAACUAAGGUCUGAGCUGAUAGCGAGCAUCGACUGCAAGACAUGAGUGAAGAUGUCUUUAGAAGAUGACAGCUUCCAGACUUCAAAUCUUGCAAUUAAGACCCCAAAAAUCACAGAGCAGAGAUACCCUAUCCAAAUUGAUGACCUGUAGAAAC
This is a long non-coding RNA of Balaenoptera ricei (Rice's whale), 584 nucleotides long. RefSeq lists it as uncharacterized. Lineage: Eukaryota; Metazoa; Chordata; Mammalia; Artiodactyla; Balaenopteridae. The record is from RefSeq and is a predicted model, not a curated record. The transcript has 3 exons.